Ostrea edulis (European flat oyster) is the source of this 22139-nucleotide long non-coding RNA. RefSeq lists it as uncharacterized. The transcript is spliced from 2 exons. The record is from RefSeq and is a predicted model, not a curated record. NCBI's taxonomy places the organism in Eukaryota, Metazoa, Mollusca, Bivalvia, Ostreida, Ostreidae.
CUGGAAAUUGUACGGAUUAUUUUCUUCUCUAAAUUUAUUUCCGGCAUGUUCACCUUCAUGCGCGUAUAGAAUCGGUACCCUAUCAAAAACAUGGCAGCAAGUUCAACUACAAAGAAUAACCUUGAUCUUUUGAUCCUAGCAGGUAAAAUUGAAUAGAGGUUACAUGUAGAUAUUCUGAUUUUAAACUUACGAAACUUUUAUAAAGUUUCAUUCAUUUUUUCUUGUUACCUACGCAACCAGGAAGUGGAGAUAAAAUUACACAAUUGGCACGCUUCCGGGGUAUAUACAUUUUACCUAAGCUAUGUAUCUUUUGUCAGGGAUAAUACAUGUAUGAAACUGCAACAUCAAAGGAUAAUGUAUUUCACCCAUUGCAUUUUGUAUUGGAUAGAUCUAGGCUAAGUCUAUUAUUAAUAUUCGUACCUUAUUCUUGCAACGUGUUGAAACAACAACACGUGGUGUGGAACACACACACACACACAAAGAUAAAUAAUAAUAAUAAAACCCCAAAACCAGAAGUAUUUUAACCAGACGAUAAUAUUUACUCUCUUUUUGUUAAAGUUAUGAUAUAGUAUGUUAUGUAUAUAGAUUAGUUGGAUUGGUAAUUUUAUCUAACUAGGUUGAAUUUGAGUCUCUGUUAUAGCUGCUGUCAAUAUUGUGAAGGGCAUAAUUUGUCCUAAAAUCUUUUUUGAAAUUAAGUGUGUGCACAAUUUUCUGAUUGCUUUUUAAAUUUCGUAAAUGAGGAGGAAAAGGUGAAGGGGGGAUGAGAAAUGGGGAGGGAGGGGGGAGAGAAAGGGGGCGGGAGGAGGGAUGAGAAAUGGGGAAGAGGGAAGAGAAAGGGGGCGGGAGGAGGGGAGGGAUGAGAAAUGGGGAGGAGGGGAGAGAAAGGGGGCAAGGACACACACACAGAGAUGAUGAUAAACACUCAUGAAAGUUUAGAAAGAAGAUGAAAGUAUUCAUCUAUUAUAAAUUUUGGGUCUCGCUUAUUGGUGUUUCUUUUUUUUUUUUUUUUGGGUGCAAAUCAGUAGUACAUGUACUUGGAUGAUUACAUUUUGUAUAAAUAUGAACAAAAACAGAGGGUUUUGUAGUUGGUGCCCAUAAGUGUAUCUGUCUGCAAUGGGCUGUCUGAGCUUUUCUUUUGACCCAGUCUAUGAUACAUGUAUACUCUUUGAUGCAUUGCCCUCAAAGUUUUUCAUUUCUUCUUAUGCCUUUUUGUGGAUCAACCCUUGACGGGAACUAAGACAUUUUAUAUGAGAUUUUCAAAAUCAUGUAAGUAAGUGGAUUUCUUGUUGGUGCAUUAUCACUGAUACCAAUACGCAAGUUUUGAGAUACGUCAGAGUAAUUGCCCUUUAGAGAACUCUCGUACACGGUAAUGUGCGAAACAAUUUGUUCACAUGUGGGAGUGUCAUCACCCAAAUUCGACUGAUACGCAAAUUAAGUAAACGAUCAGUAUUGUGGGAGUAAUCAGAUGUACAGAGAAUACGCAAUUUCCGAGUUGCCCAAUAGUUCUUUCCCUUUGUGGAACUCUUACGCACAAUGAGACACAAAACAUACUAUCGUCCACACGUGGUGGGUACAAAUGCUUAUCACUGCCUUCAUAUAUUGUCUAAAGGCCUUUUAUCAGACCUUUAGAACUUGCAACCACCCAAAUUGUAGGAACACAAUAUUAGUAAGUUUAAGAGUAUUUGAUACUAUUUUUCUUUGAUUGAAAUAUCAAUCGUGCAGAGGAGGAAAUAAAAAAUCAUUUCAUGUUUAAUUUAAUGGCCUAAUUGAAACAAAUAUUAUUCUUGAUAUGGUCAGGUUAAUGUAUACCAACAGCUGAUAUAAACAAAAUUUACACUUUCAAUACUUUAUCCGUAUUUACAUAGCUAAUCUAUAGUAUAUGUAUACAUCUUGUACCCACCCAAGCGUUCAACAGAACACUGUACGUACCUUCAUCACAGAAGAGCUAAUAUCUCGGAAGUUGGGUAUUUUUAUUAUAUCAUGCUAUUUCUUUGCUCAUAUGUAGAUUAAUCAUAUUUAGGCUAUAACUUGCAAAUGUGACAUUGGUUGUUUUUUUUUUCACUGUAGUAAAACAUUUCUUUCAGUAAUGUUUUGCAUAUCCUACAUUUACAUAUAUUUCAACAGGAGCCAUUUUUUUUUUUUACAUUUUAUUGUCUUCCUCACAGAAUGUAGGUCCAAUCUGUCCCACUUACGCAUUCAAAGUUCACUAAAUACAUCACCUAAACAAAAAGAGCUCUUAUCUCGAAAUUGGCAUAAUGAGUGUAACAAUAAUUCUCAGAAGAGAGUUAAAGUGAACAAACGCCUGAAGAUGAGAGAUUUCGUAGAAAAUUUCACCUUUCUUGUCAUCAAGGACAAGAACAUGGUCAAUGAAUUGAGACAUGUUUUUUUCAACAUUGGUCCAAGUAAUAUUGCAUUGAAUUUCUAUGGUACUUACUUAAUUAAGUGUGCAUGUUCCUAAUCUGAAAUUACCAUGCCUGCACAAACAAGAAAACCGAACUGCAAGUGAUUUCCAGCAAUUAUUCCUGUUCGUUUUGGAAAUUUACUAGGUAGUAGACAGUCUCUGGGUUUGAUUUUUGUCCCUUUCACCAUGUUUGACACACUGCGGUGUUUAGAAUAGAAAUAAACAUGCUGGAUAAACUAUCAAUGUCAAUAAGUUAUGUAUAAGUAGAUUGCAAUAUACUACGCACGACUUUCUGACUUUCUAUUAAUAUGAUCGGCAGAAAUACCUCACAUUUGAAGCAUUAUGUAUAUUUCAGAUAUUGGGGUUCACGGGAAAACCCUUCCCUGAAUGGGUAAGGAGGUGAGGAUGAAUACCUUGCCCAAUCACAAAAACAAUUUAUCGUAAAGCACUGCUAUACUCCAUGUAAGACUAUUUUAUGCAAGUGUUUUACCAAGGAGAUGCUUACAACCUUGUGUAUUGUACAAAGUUAUCUUACACCUCACACAUACAUUGACUAUACUAGGUAGGUUUUCAUCUUAGCAAGCCAAAUGUCAGACUUUCUUACUCUCAUCUCCCUCUUGGCAGAGUUUGUCCUAUUUCGUAGUACCCCGGACUUUCAUACUACCCUGUUAUUGAUAUGUAUACAGUAGAUCGCAUCAUGAUACCUGAGCUGUCUUGUCGCCAAUUUCAGAGACCACAAUGUUUGGUAGAACCAGUGGGUUUUUUUGGGCCUGAUUUGGGGCCGAAAUUCGGCCCCAGUCCCAAUCGGAAAUUCCCUAAUAUUUUCCCAAUUUUGGGCCAAAACAUUCCCAAUCGUAAUUUAAAAAAAAAAAUCUUUGUACGAGUUAUUUAAAUAUUACGUAUCAUGUAUCAUGUAUUUCAUGAUAGCUCUUCCGGUAAUGAAUGCAUCGUGUUCUAACUGGUAGAUUCAGUAGUCAUGUCACAUAACAUUAUGUAAAGAAGCUUACUAAAAAAACCAAAAGAUUCAAACAAAAAGAUAUCCUUCUUCCGGAAAUGUAUAAUUAAAUGAUGUCAUCAUGGAAAUCAUGAAAUUUCAAUAAAGAUGAAUUUUCUCAAUUUUCUUGUUUUGUCGCUAUUUUUCCCAAUUGAAAGGGCCCCAGUCCCAAAUUGGUGAAAAAACACUGUAGAACGCUUAUAGUUAAUCAGUUUGUUCGCCCCAUAUUAAAUACAAGUUGGGCAAUAGCGACAGACAAUGCAAUUAUAUUUGUUUGUUUGUAACAUGUAUGCAAAUGGUAAGAUGGAAAAAAUAUGUAUGGCAGCAUUUUUCUAAAUUUGAAAGUAUGAAACUAAAUAAUUGAUCAAACAGGUUUGUUCAAAUGGAGAGAGGGGUCAUUUUUUCAGUUUGGUCUUCUGAUUUGGUAGUAUAAACAAGCAAACUUUUAUAUUGAAGGUAUUUACCCAGGUCAAAGCAGUUUUGUGUAAUUUCAUUGGAGUGGACAGUUUGGUAAAAUUGUGAAGUUGCAAGCCUCUGUGUAUACAUGUGUGAAACCACAGCUUACCCAUUAUUUACCACAAGUCUUGAAGGCUGACCAUGGAAGUUAUUGUUCAAUUUCAUCAAAAUCAGGAAAACUAGAGUUUUACAAUUGUAUUGAACGCCUGACAAAUCUCCCAUUAAGGUGGCUCACUACAUCCUGAAAUAGUUCUCAAAUCAAUACGAAUUGAUUUAAUCAUAAAAGAUAUGAUGAUAUAUGCAGGGACUUUUUUAGGGUCUGUAGGGGGUCGAAAUAAAGCCCCAUUCCCAAUGCUAAAAAGCAGGUAUUUUCCCCAAUUUUUGCUUUGAAAUUUUCAAACAAUGAUAACAAAUCUUGAGAUCUUCUAUGAAUUCACUGGUAGCUACAGAUGGGCUUCUCACAUCUUUUUUAUGCCCCCAAUGCAUAUUAUAGUUUUUGGCCUGUCCACAUGUCUAUCUGUGGCUAACAACUUUAACCUUGGUCACAUUUUUUACACCAUAAGUGGUAGAGCUUUGAUAUUUGGUAUGUGUAUUUCUUGUAACAAGACCUUUCCAUUGACACCAAAAUGUUUGACCUUGUGAAUUUUAACAUUGACCUGGUUCUACUUUGUUGUUAAUUGGGGCAUCAGUGUCACAAACACAUCUUUUUCUUCUUUUAUUUUUAAUGGAAUUCAGUUAUUUUGUUGUACACCAACUAGAGUUGUGUAUUUGGAAGAAGUUCAGUUGGUCAGGGGUACUAAACAAGAAUGUAAGUAUCAGCAGUACUUUGAUAUUUGUUUUAAAUCUAAUUACCUAGCUGGGUAACUCAGUAGUUUAACGUGUUGAUUGCUGACCUGUAUAGAUCACGGGUUCAAGUCUAACAGGUGUUUUGAUUCAUUUUUCUCCAGAUUAUUUAUACUACAUUUUUCAACUAAAUAAGGUAAUUAAAUUUGAUCAUUUUCAUUUUCAAAACAUUUUUAGUUCACCUGAACCGAAGGUUCAAGUGAGCUUUUCUGAUCAAAAUUUGUCCGUCGUUGUCUGUCAUUGUUGUAAACUUUUCACAAUUUUAUCUUCUUCUUCAGAACUACUGGGCCAAUUUCAACCAAACUUGGCCAAAAGCAUCCUUGGGUGAAGGGCUUUCAAGUUUGUUCAAAUGAAGGACCAUGUCCCUUUCAAAGGGGAGAUAAUCACAAAAAUGCAAAAAUAGAGUGGGGUCAUUUAAAAAUCCUCUUCUCAAGAACCACUGGGCCAGAAGAGCUGAAAUUUAACUGAAAGCUUCCUGGCAUAUUGCAGAUUCAAGUUUGUUCAAAUCAUGGCCCCCGGGGUAGGAUGGGGCCACAAGGGGGGAUCAAAUUUUACAUACAAAUAUAUAAGAAAAAACUUUAAAAAUCUUCUUAAGAACCACUAAGCCAGAAAAGCUGAGAUUUACAUGAAAGCUUCCUGACAUAAUGCAGAUUCAAGUUUGUUCAAAUCAUGGGCCCCGGGGGUUGGAUGGGACCACAAUAGGGGAUCAAAGUUUUACAUACUAAUAUAUAGGAAAAAUCUUCUUCUCAAGAACCAAUGAGCCAGAAAAGCUGAUUUUUACAUGAAAACUUUCUGGCAUGGUGCAGAUUCAAGUUUGUUCAAAUCAUGGCCCCGUAGGGUAGGAUGGGGCCACAAGUGGGGGGGGGGGGGGUGUCAAAGUUUUACAUACAAAUAUAGGGAAAAUCUUUAAAAAUCUUCCUUCUCAAGAACCAUUGGGCCAAAGAAGUUGACAUUUACAUGAAAGCUUUCUGACAUAGUGUAGAUUCAAGUUUGCAAAAAGGGGUAGUUGGGGUCAAAAUAGGGACUAAGGUUUUACAUGGAAAUAUAUAUGGAAAGUCUUCAGAUAUGGGCCAAGGUGACUCAGGUGAGCGAUGUUGCCCAUGGGCCUCUUGUUGUAGAUAUCCUCCACUUUCCCCUCAUAUCAGAUUUCUCUGAUGUGGACUCCUCCUUUGUUUACUACAGAAAGAAACAUCAGAUCUAUGGAUGAGAAAAUGGUGAUCUUCUGUAUCAACUAAGUUCAACAAAGAGAAUUCUAUCACCCAGUGCUGUUUAAUCCAAUUAGUAUUUUAUGGAGAAAGAGCCAUGUAAAUUAUGAUUUUUUCGUGAUUGCAGCAUGCUGGCUGCAGUGUUUGAACCUACUCUACUUAAGCUACAGGCAUUAUAGAUAUUGAUCCAAAGGCUCUCUGUCAAAACUCUACUGAUUCUAUUGAUCAAAGGACACAAAUUCUACUUCCUUGUUGUCUGAUCUCACUUCUGAUUGGUCAACCUGUGGUUGUUGACUUCCAAUCAUCUUGCAGCAUCAACCAGGGAGUCUGAGAAUGUUAUUAUCUUGUAUUGCAUGCUGGUAGUAUUAGAACAUUUUUGGAUAUCAAUAGUUGCUCAAAGAUACAUUUGAGGUGAGUACCGAGUGCUGAGUUCAAGGGUUUCAGUAAAUAGGAGUAAAAAAUUUGUUUUACAUUUCCAUUCAAACAAAAUCAGAAAGCAGCUGUUAAUAUUAUAAAGUACAAAGUUGUCGAAUUCAUAAAGGAUAUAUGCCAUGUAGAUGUUUUGACUGACUCAGAAUUGAAUCAUGAAUCAAAGCAGGUGUUUAAAGCAACCCUAAGUGACAUUAAAAAAAAAGGAUUUAGUUCCGUGGCUCACAAACCAGAAUUUGAGACAACUGUACGAGCCCAACAGCACCUUUUUUAUAUUGAAACAUCCUAUGAUCUUCAAAACAAGGUGUGAUUCAACUUGAUGUUACUUAUGAUGCAGAGGCCGAACUUUUUCAACAGACAAAGAUGCCUGUGAAUGAAAUUUUAUGUUCCAAGCCGUAGAUGAAGCUGAUAAACUACAGGUAAGCAUCUCUCUCUGACAAGAAAGGGGGGGGGGGGUGUUAUUGGAUAUAUGUAGAUCAGCAUUGUUAUUCCUGUAUUUUUUAAAAAAAAAAUUUAAGAUCUGGUACACCUGAUGAGAUGGAGAGGUGAGGAUGUAUUCUCAGCCAGCAAAUAUGCAGUGUCCAGUUACUUCAAAAACUUAAAAUGGAGAAAACUAGCCAAAUCCUGAAAUUGAUACACUGUGGUAACGACCCUUAAAUUCGUUCGACAGAGACAAUUCUACUUGGUAUUGUAAAUAUCCUUUGGGGAAAAACAUGCUUUCCAUCUGAAAUUUCUGAAUUUGAAAGUUAUCUCCCAUUUAUACUAAUCACUCCAUGCCGACCGCUGUCAUCGCAGCAUAAGUGAGGCACUUUAGGCAUGCCUCAGCCCCCACAGAUGAGGCUUUCAUUUGUAGUUAUGCUGGUUGCCUAAACAAUUCUAAGAAGAGAGAAAAAUGUCUUGACUGUCUUGUUGAAAUACUUAGAAGUCAGUCAUAUUCAAAUUCAACACAAACAAGGUUACAUGUAAAGGAAGUUCACAGAAAUAACAACUGAAGAUUCAGUGAUUCCAGUUUUGAAGAACUUUCUUCCAUUGUUGUUAGCAGUGAAAAUGUUCCAAAUGCCCAGCCUAUAAGUGUCACAGUGCAAUUGCCCAUAAGCUUACCUUCUACAGAAUUUCAUGUUUACCCAACAAUGAAUAACUGGUGAAAUUUAGUUUUGGUCCCCAAAUAUAAACUGUGGUUUGCUGAAUUAUAAAAAUGAAGUUUACCAUAUUAAACUUCUUUACUUUGAAUUCUUUCACCUUGUUGACUUUUUUGUUACACGUUUACAUCAAUGUACAUAAAAUAUGAAAUUGCAUCACAUUGCUUUGUUAUAUAUAUCUAAUAGACACAUGCCACACAAUAUGAUAAAACAGAUAGUGCAUGAUGUUGAGGGUAACAUUGAAAAUUUUCACCCCAAGAAACCAUGUGUGUCAACCGAGACGCAGCCUGUUUUGACAAUAUGGUUUUCUCAGGGUUAAAAUCUUGAUAUUCUCAACUACACACGCUAUUUAUAUGUUAAUAUCACCUUUUUGUCAAGUAAUGUUUCCCGUUGCUAGAUACUAUCAUCCUUGAGUACAAUGCCUAAUUACUCCCAUAAGGAAAUGUAGUUUUUCAAAUGAUUUCAGGUCAAUCAGAUUUGAGUAUUUUACAUGAAAGUAUAAUAAUGUAGAUCUGGUGUUCACAGAAUUUCAGAUUUAGAAUAAUAUUAUGUAAGAUGAAGUGUCUCAAUUUGAAAGUAGUAACACGGUGUCCUUGUUAAACACUAUUUUGUUUUUAAAUAUUUAUGUAACAUAUCUAAAUACAGUAGCGAUAUCAAAAGAAGGAUACCUGCAUAUUGAUGAUUUACACAGCAAAUGUAUCAUUGUUCAUUGUUAUUGAUUGAUGGAGUUGUAUGUGAUGUUCAGGAUACUAGUCAGAUCACAGUAUGCAUAUUGUCAAUAUAUAUAUAUAUAUAUAUGAUAGUUAUAAUUAGCCUUGUCUACUCUAACCGAUCCCAGUGUCUUUUUAGAGAGAUGAAGAUGUGAUAUCGGAGAUUUGGCUUAAAAUAUUUGAAAUGAGUAUUUUAAUUAUGUGACAGACAGUAUGUCAGUUUUACAUUGCCUGUAACACGUUUGACAAACCCAAUAUCAUUGCAUGCUAUCGUGUCAUUAUACUAACGUUCACCGAAGGUAUUUUGACUUGUAGGCAACAGUUUUGUUUUUAAAAAACCGAGAGAGAGAGAGAGAGAAAGAAUCAAUAGGGGAUUGUAGCAGGAGUAUAGGGUAUGCUCAUUAGCUGUCGUCAUGGACUGCCUUUUGUUGCUGGUUGUCAUAGAAACAGCCUGCAGUGUCUUAUUAUUCUUACUUUUCUAGCUUAGAAGGCCAUUGCUUUUUACUACUGCUGUAGUUGUUUUUUCUCUAAUUCCUUCGAUCUAUGUGACUGUUACAGAUAAAGAUUAGCUGUCUUAGUUUGAUAACUGAGUUGUCACUGUAUAAUUUACCUAAUAGAAACCUUUUAACAAAUUACUUUUUGAAGGACUUUUUCUCAUUCUGUACCAUACAUACUACAUGCAGGGAUUUAUCUAGGUUGUUUUUACUACCGGUAAAAGGUACCUUUCUCCACUGGCAAUAAAUGGAUAUUUCCUCUUCCAUAGAUAAAAUAUCCCCUUCAUUUGUAGAAACUUUACAAAAUUGUAUGAGAAUUUUCAACAAAAUCAUUUUUAUAUAUUCUAAGUCAUUUUCUAUAGCUAUCAAACUUACAAUAUAGAAAAAAAUGAGUACUCAAUCAAUUUGUAUUCCAUGGAUGUCCCACACCACCAACCCCUGGAAGCUCAUGACUGCAUUCUCAAAAAUUCCCCUUAAAUAUAAAAUGGCUAGUAACAUCUAAAUGCUAGAUAAAACCCUGACAUGUGUUUGGAAUCAAAUAUUUCAAUUCAAUGAUAUUUAUUGUGCAUAAACGAGAUUAUGUAAGGAAGAGGGGGGGAAAAGGAGAGUGAAUACUGAGUGAAUUUGCAGGUAUUUAAAUAUCAGUUGACAUGAGUUAUGAUUUCGUCAUUUAAAUGCAAAUAUCAGUUGGAAGAUGCUUACAUAAUUGGCUCAAGAAAAGUUUUCAUCAAAGCAAAAUUAGAUAUCAAAAGCCCUGAUUUCACAUUAACAGGCUUCAACUUAGAAAAUAAAUUACCAGUAGAUUUUUUCAAAACUGAUCAUAUACAUGUACUUUGAAAAUUUUCCUCAAUUAAUUUAACAUGGAACCCUAUUACAAAUGCAUAUUUUUGGCAUAUUGACAAUUUCUCUAGAAUGCUGUUGUUUAAAAGAUGCAAUAUGUGAUAGCUUGAAAGAAAACUUUUGGUCACCUAUCAAACUCUUAUGAAUUUUUUUUUCCAGUUUUGAGCAAAGGGAGAUAACUUUUUAAAGGAAACUUGGAUUAAGUUAAUAGUAAUAAUCCUGCUCUGACAUUUGUAUUAAUGUAAUGAUGUAAGCUGUCGGUAUAUAGAUUUACCAAUGUCAUUUAUAUAAAGUGUGAAAAAGCUCACUUUUAUGUGUUUGAUUAGGACUCAGAAAUGCUAACAUUGUUCCAAUGAGUAGCGUAAGUGACACUAUUAUACAAUAAGAAACGACUAAACAUCAGUAUUUCAGGCGGUCAUUUCAGGGCCAUUGGACUUCUAACAAUUACAUGAAAUUUUAUAGACACCUAUGUAAUUUGUAAGAAGAAUGUAAUGAAUGUAUAUGUGCGUAAGUUUUUGUUACCAUGCCAACACAGCAGUACUGAACAUAAUUCUAGAUAUUAUAUGGCAAAUUUGGAAUAUUUAAGGAUUGCAAACAAGUGAAUUCAUGUUUUCAGAUUGGACAUGGUUUUAAGUUCAGUUGCAGGGAUUGUCUUUUUGUCUUACUUAUAUCUUCUUAUUAUCAUUUAUAAUGACCAAAUUAUUAUUUUAGAAUAUUACUGCUGCACUCUCCAAUUAAUUCUCUCUUACUCAUUCUCUCUCUCUCACUCGUUUUAAGACAAAACUGUUGCCUACAAGUCAAAAUACCUUCCGUGAACGUUAGUAUAAUGACACGAUCGCAUGCAAUGAUAUUGGGUUUGUCAAACGUGUUACAAGCGAUGUAAAAUGACUAUUAUAUAUCUGAAAUACACACUGUUUUUCGUGUUUUCAUAUUCUUCCAGUAUUUUCUUUUGUCAAAAAAAAAAUUUUGCCUGUAGAAUGUAUAAUGCUGUCUUUUGCCAAGUUCCAUUGUGCCAAAUUUAACCAUCCACCUUGACAUUAGUAUUGACUGGUAUUUGGAAAGUGAGUAUAGCAUUCAAGGUCAAUAGGGCAUAGUUUAAGGGCAUGUAUAAUCAGUGCUUGAAUUAAACUAAGCUAUGAACACAGUAAACAGAAUGCAAUUCGAUCUUUUAAGUUUAAUACUCGCUACAGAGGUAUUGUGGGAAAGAUUGACUUUCAAUAUAGAUUGAUGCUUGAGAAUGAUGAUCAGUGAAUGAUGCCAUUUUGCCUAGCAUAUCACUCCAUGUACUCUCAUUCAGUUAAAGAGUGGUCAGUUUUUAGAUGGGCACCAGUAAGGACCAUCAGUGAGGAUUGUAAUGAUUGGGUCAUCACAAGGUCAUGUGUGUUGAAGCUUCACUUUAUGUGCAGUGUGACUGUCUGUGCUAUUUAUAUAGGAACCCCCACCAUUUGCAGGAAGAAUGCACAAAUGCCUCUGUUUAGUGAAUGGAAACACAGAAACAGCUGUGUGAUUAAUAUGUGAUUCUGCCAGUGGCAGUGCUAUAUUUUGUGUAGAUUGACUGAGCAUUAAAGACAUCUCCGUCAUUUGCUAUUUGCGUAACAAACACAUUUUCUUGAACAAUAAAGAGACUGAGAAAAUCGGGUAGAGUAAAUGCCCUGAUAAUGCAGACCCAGAUCAUUGAAAUCAGAACUCACCAAAAAGUCACAUUGAUGUCUCUGAUAAAUGUUCAAUUCAUUGGUGACUAGAAAAUCUACAAGAGUAUGGACUCCAGAUUGUAGUGACACUCUGGAUGUUAGAAAUCUAAGGACAGAACAAGAAUAUAUUGGUAUUGAUUAACUUGAGAGCAAUCUUAGCUGUGAAAAUUACUACUGAACAAAUGUAGACCCUCAGGUUUUUAAUCAACAUCACACAUCUGAAAGAUCUUACUAUUUGAUGAUAAUGGGUAUAAAACAAAGAAUGUGCCUUCAUCCAGACUGUAGACCUUCAUAAAGGUUCAUACCCUUAGUAUUGUUGGUGUGGAAUGAACUGGCCUUACUCAUCAUAUACAAAUGGAUCUUGAAAAAUUUCAAACAUCAAGGCAGAAAAUAUCUGGAAAUUUUGAUAUUGAUUUAAUAAGUAUCGGAAACAUUUAAAACAGGAAGUUAGUCUGUUUAAUUAUGAUUCUUAUUUACCAUGCACAAACUACUCAUUGUUAAGUGGUUCCCAUUGUUUUAUCUCUGAAAAACAGGGGACAUGAUAAGUGAUUUGGUCAACAAAUGAUAAAUUUAACUUGAUUAUUGCUUAACAUGAUGUUACAAAACUCACAGUUUAAAGUGAAAUAUGAAACGUGAUUAACAGAAUAACGAAAAUAGUCAUUUUCAUGGAUUAGACAGGAAAUGGGAUUUAACAUGUUUCAGUUUUGUACUUUUGUUUCUAUAUGUGCUGUGUGAGGACUUUGGUUCCGAUUAUAUCUAUAUUUAGGGUAAUUUGUUCUGUAAUCUGGGCUGCGGCUAUCAGUGCGGUACAUCUUUUGUUUGCGGAUGUUGCCGUCUGAUCUGAGAGGAGACUUCCGUAUAGUCAAUUAUCUCUCUUUCUAGGGUUUCCGUAAACUCUAAUUACUUGGUUUCCUCUUCUGGUUCUCAGGGCCCCCCUCUCCAUAUUUAGUUUACUUCAGGAAGAGUGUUAUAAAGUUUGAACUUUCUGGCCACUUGCUGUUUGAUUAACUGGAGAAGUUACUGGAGAAGAUAUGACUAUAUAAAUCUUUUAUGUGUUCUGUUUUUAAAGACCCUUGGUAACAGUAUAACUUCAGUUCAUAUUAAUAACUGUGUAUGUCAUGAUUGUAUGUUCAACAUUGGUGGUGGUAUGAUUUAAAAAUCUAUUUUUUGUGAAUUGAAUUGGUACUUCAUAAAAGCAGUGACGUAAGGUUUAGAAUGGUAGGCCUUAUUGGGUCAUUAGGUUGUUGAGAAAUAAGAGUACAAAUUAGAUUUGAAAUUAUCUUUGACCUUGACCUGGUGAGAUAUUUUAGAGGGCAAAGAGUUUGUCUUCUUUACAAAAGUUCUAUCUUUACAUAUAUCAGACUUCAGACUUUUUGAAGCCUUUGAAUUAUGUUUCCUAUACAUGCAGUCAUCCAAAAAGAAUGUUGACAAGCAGGGUGUAAUUGUCGGACAGGACAAUAGACAGAGUUGGCAAAGAAUUUGCUGCUUGUCCACACUCGGUAGCUUUGUGCGGAAAUGCAGAUUACUAUCAAGGUUUGAUCAUUUGCCAGAGACCCUGUUUUGGAAAUAUUUUGAAAGCCUGUGUAAUUUAAAUCCUUCCUUGGUUUUUAUAAUUAUUACUACUGCUGACGUAAAUUAUAAAGCCCUCUCAUUAAUAAUUUGUACCCAGCCCAUCUUUUUUAGUAAGAUUACAUAAAACUGGUUUUAUUUAAAAAUAAAAAUGAACAUAAAAUUGAAAACCAUCUUCAAUACAAGUUGAAAGAAUUUUAUUUAAACCUGUUCUGACACAGUUUUUUAGAUACAGUAUAGUUAAUUUCUUUAGGUGUAAUCGUUUUAGAUGUGAGCUGGCUAUAAUAGGGUUACUGUCCUGGCAACCCCCUGUAAGUCAGCAAUGAACCCCUAAUUGUUGUGAUUUUUGUUUACUCAAUUACGUUUCAUGAUCAUACACUAUUUCAAUAUCUAAAGUCAGAUGCUGAAGGACCAUUUCGUAGUAAACUUGUAUAAAGUUAUACUUAUAGAGAUGACUGAUACAUUGAAGUGCAUCUAUUAUGUAUUAGUAUACCACAUGCAGUAUGACUGUGAUUGGUGCACUUAGCAGAACUUUGAUUGUCUUCUAGACUGUAAGUAGUUUGUUUUUGUGAUUUUAAUGAAAAUCAGAUCAAGUGACAAUGACCUCAGCGUUUUUAAGUACUCUGUCAGCUGAGAGCUUAUAGUCGGUUAUCUGGGAAGUGUUUCUUUGUUGUAAGCUGUCACAGUGUAGAUCAUAGAGGUCAAUCUCUAAAAAAAAUAAAAACAGAACAAAUAUGAACCGGACAUAAUACAACCAAUUCUAUCAACGGAGAGGGAAAUAAACAAGUAAACACGAGGCAAUAAAAAGUUUGACUUUUAGGAAGUGGUGCCUGGUUUUACGAUGUUAUGAAGUAUGUAAAAGAAUAUAAGUAACCCCACCCAAUGUCUGGUGACACAGAAUGCUUUACCUGGAGAUCAUAUACCUGUCCGCAUGACUAAUGACAAAACAAGUGGUGUGUGCAAGGAAAGAGGAAAAAUUAGGAAAUAUUUGUUUUUAUUAAAAGCUUCAGAAAUUGUUGAGUCUAUGAGGUGUACAAUGCACUCCUUCCCCGAUAAUGACAUACAUGUACAGUGAAAUAUUAGGCAGCAUAAAACCACCUUCAGAUAGUCUGACGCAGAUUAUGUGAAAUAUUUGUGCAGUGUGACAAACAAAAGCUCAUCGUAGAAACCAUGAAGUGGGCUUUAUUUGUACAUGAUGUACUUUAAUGAUUGCUUUAUAUAUGCACGAGUAUACUAAGAAACUGGGGGAAGUCCGGUAAAUGUGGACUGCGGAUAUACGAAUGAAUAAGUUCAACAUUUCCGAUGUUGGGAAGUAUUCAGGGUUACAUGGUGGAGCUGAGUAAGACACUUGAAUCUGCUUCCUUGUGACAAGGGCCUGAAUUAUAGGAACAGUAACAAGGGCCCCAUACUUACCCUGGCCUGACACUUGUCCACCUUCAGUAUUUGCCGCUGAUAGAAUUUAGUCAUGCUCCUACUCCAAACUGGCUUCUUCAGAUCUUAGUCACUUAAAACUUGAAAUUAUUUUGAAAUAAAGACCUCAUUAUGCUCUUCUCUGAAAAGCUUUUGUUUUUCCUACUGUGGGAAUUUUUUUUCAAGAUCUUAGUAGUUUUCUUCACAUUAUGAAGGAGUUUCAGAAUAAAAUGAAGUUGCUGAAUCAGAGAUCUAUUGUACCUAUAGGGAAUUCUCGCUAGCUGGUGAAAAUUAUGUUCGGUUUUUGAUAUGUAGCAGGAGUAUAGGUUUAAUUAUUUGUGAUGUCAGUAUUUAGAGCACUUGCAAUUGAUAGCCCAAAGUCUUUAACCAUAUGAAAGUUUGACCAGCUCUGGGUCUAGAUAGAUUUCUCAUUGAACUGCAGAUAUUGAGUUUUGCUCUUUCAUUUUCAUCCAACAAAAUUAACAAAAAAAAUUUAGCCCCUGUGUCAGAACAAUGGAUGUAGUCUCAAUCAAAGACUUCAAAGGGAGUUGACCCCACUAGUUGAACACCAAUAAAGAACAGCUGUAUAGUUCAAGAAGGGGGGAUAAUGGCUGUGUCAAGGUGACAAAGCUCACCUGCAACACUUGCAUACAUGAAAUUCUCAAAAUUUGAGAAGUUAUUUUUAAGUUGUUAAUCAGUAUGCAUAACACAUAUUUCAUUCAUCUUACUUCACUUGUCAUGUAUAUAUUGUGUGGAUUAUGAAAUGCGCUACCAAAGUUUAUCAAUAUGGAUAUUUAAAUUCUGCAAAAACUAUCACAGCCAAAGUUGCUUUUGUCAUUGAAAAUGAAGUAUCUCGUUCAAAGCACAUGAAGUCACUGAGUGUAUGUUCAUAGGCUGUGUUCUGUAUCUCGCCCAAUCGGUUCGUUGUAUUACUACAUGUUCGUUCACACACUCUCUCAAUGAUGUAGCUAUAAUCCUAAACCUGAUGAACUUUCACAGUAGACAUGCAUGUCUUAACAGUGGACUGUUUUUAGUGUUGGACAAUGAUUGCUAGUUUCACCAUGUUCUGUGAUAAACUGUGAUAUUAAACACAUCAUGCAUCAUACCUCGUAACAGAUUUUAAGAAGAAAUAAUUGCUUCAGGGAAUCAUACACAGCCAUGACCUUGUGAUUAUGAAGUAAUAAAGACCUUGUGGAAUCCUAUUGUUUGAUUCCAUUUGGUUUCAUAAAGUCACAGAAUCCUCUGUUGCUGGCUGUUUUUAUUCAGAUUUUAAAACAUACUAAAGGCAAUUCUAUUGGAAAUGUCCAUGCCAUGAAAUUGGUAAAAAGAUAAAAACUUGAAACUUUUUAAAAGUUUUGUCAUGCUAUCUGAGAUCAGAUAUUAUGUCACAGAAAAUGGAUACACCCACGCUUUUUGCUCAAUCUGAAUAAGCAUGUUACAGUAUUUCACAAUCGGCAGAAAAUUAUACUAGGGGCAUAAAGUAAAAAAGUCAUCAAUGCCGCCUUUACAUACAUCCCAUACCCCAUAUAAUACUUUCCCCAGUUAGAGACACGCUGUAUAUACCCAGUACUUACAUUUAGUACUUUCGUUAGAGACAUACUGUAUUUAUAUACCCAGUACUUACAUUUAGUACUUUCCUCAGUUAGGGACAGACUGUAUUUAUAUACCCAUUACUUACAUUUAGUACUUUCCUCAGUUAGGGACAGACUGUAUUUAUAUACCCAGUACUUACAUUUAGUACUUUCCUCAGUUAGGGACAGACUGUAUAUACCCAGUACUUACAUUUAGUACUUUCGUUAGAGACAUACUGUAUUUAUAUACCAGUACUUACAUUUAGUACUUUCGUUAGAGAUAUACUGUAUUUAUAUACCCAGUACAUACAUUUAGUACUUUCCUCAGUUAGGGACAGACUGUAUUUAUAUACCCAUUACUUACAUUUAGUACUUUUGUUAGAGACAUACUGUAUUUAUAUACCCAGUACUUACAUUUAGUACUUUUGUUAGAGACAUACUGUAUUUAUAUACCCAGUACUUACAUUUAGUACUUUUGUUAGAGACAUACUGUAUUUAUAUACCCAGUACUUACAUUUAGUACUUUCCUCAGUUAGAGACAUAAGAUAGGAUAAGUUUAUUCCAAUUUUGGGCCCAGAGGGCAUAACAGUAAGACAGAAAGUUUACAACAUUAACUACAGGUUACAUAGACUGCAAACUGCAUGUGGAAUGCAGCAUGUUGGGGAAACAAGUACAUACAUAUAUGAAUUGCUAAUCAUGUAUAUAUACAAGUAAAUGGACAGUAUCAGUAUUAUACCAAUAUAUGAAUAAUAAACUAUAAUGAUUUUUGCAGUUUUAAAGCAUCACUUCUUUUUCUGAAAGUUUGCACUAAAUAUUCACUCAAUUUGACAAUUACUGGUUUGUCUUCAUUAAUCAUCAACCAAGUAAAUUUGUCCUUAUUUGUUAGAUAGAUAAAAUUUUUGUUGAGCUUGUAUAUACCAUUAAAAAACAUAUUUCUCUCUUCAACAUAGAAUGGACAAUCAGUAAGGAAAUGAAAUCCAUCUUCUACACAAUUAAGUUUACAUAAUUCACAUAUUCUUUUGUUUCUUUCAAAAGAAAUCUUCUGGCCAGAAUUGGUUUUUGUAAAUUCAUAUCUUCCUCUUUCAAUUCGAAGGUCAUGUGCACUAAUUCGAAAUCUACAUAGAGUUUUUCUUAAUUCUAGGGAUUCUAAAAAUAUAUAACUUUCCAUAGUAAAGUUUUCUUUAUACGAAAAAUAUGUUGUGAGUUUUCCUGAUUUCUGACCCUCUUUACGUCGUCUUGACCAGUAAAGUAAAAAUUGUUUCCGUACCUGAUUCUUCAUUUGUUUUUUGAAAAAUGAGAAUUUGAGAUUUUUACAAUUGGGUACCAAAAUGCCCAUUAUGAAACACUAUGCCUCUGACCAUGGCUAAUUCUAAUUAAUGUUAAAACUGACCCUUUGACCUUGACAUUUAACUUACUUGAGAAUAAAACUUUCAGUUUACAAAGUUCAAAAGCUAAUUAUCAAGGUUACCUAUAAGUUGUAAACAGAGGCAUACCUAUAAGUUGUAAACAGAGGCAUACAUGUCGGUCAAGUCAGUAAACAUUGUGGAAAUAUUUCAUCUGCUGAUGUAAGUUGAAAUUGUUGUAAGAUAAUUAAAACAUGGAUAUCUUUUAAAAAAGAUUUGGGCUAUUUAUGUCUUGUAGAGCAACAAUAUUAAUUACAAGGUGAAAGAUGUGGAUUAAUGACCACAGGUUUAAAGAAUGGAUGUCAGAACUACAGCAGGGAUGAGUCAUACAUGCUAUUUCACCUUUAUAUACCUCUUUUUCCACCCACUGGUAGCAAUAGCCAAGUCAGGGUUAGGGUGCUCGCUUCAAAACCGGGAGGUUACUGGUUUGAUUUUAUGGCAGGAUAUAGGUUUGAUUCUAGAUCAAACUUGCCAUGUUAAACAUACAGAUGGUGACUGUUCCUUCACCAAGCACUCAGCAUCAAAAGUGAAGGUCUCCAUUCUUUUGGACAGAGGUUCCAUUUUCAAAGUAUAGGCAUGGCACAAUGAAGAUAUGAUAGUAUUCCAUGUAUUUUGAUUAAUUAUAAUGUGUGCUUACUCUAAAAGUCAAUAAUGAUAAGUUUGAGAAAAAAUUUACAACUAAUUUUUGUUGGGGGGGGGGGUGUUAAUUGGGGCUCUUGUACAGCUUGUUGGUUAAGUUUCAGAGAAUGUACCCUGUUUUUUUUUUAACAAAUAUGAAACUUCAAAAUAUGAACACAAAAUGGCCAGUUUAAUUCCAUAAAGAGUAACCUAUAAUGAAAGUGUAAAUUAAAUCUUUCUGAGUUCAUGUGGUAUCCAUUUCAAAUCUGCUGUUGAUGGUUCAUGCACUGAUAAAACCUUGUGAAUUAGUAAUUAUAAGAUAACUUCUGUAGCCCAAUUAAAAUGUGAGGAUUUUAAGAACUCCUGGCAGUACCAAGGCAUACAUUAAUCAAGUGCAUUAAAGCCAAAUUUAUAAAGGACAUGACAUUGAUAAACAAACACAUGUAGUACCAGUGAUUAGGAAUACAACUGAACUGGUACCGUCUCAGUACAAUUUCAUUUGUGGUGUAGUACCUCCAUUAAUAAUGAGUGUGUUGUUACCACAUUAUGGGUCCAGAUAAUGUUGAUGGUAUAGGUUACACCAGAAGGACCAUUCUUCAUCAGGAUACUUAAUACCUUGGCAGGUUGCAAGGAAUGUGUGAAAUUUAAAAUGAGAAAUUAAAUUUGUCAAAAUUUUCAGCCUUGGGCCUCUAGAUUGCUGUAAAAUUGUCACACAUUAGGUACAAAUAUAUCUAUUUAAAAAGCAACACGAAUGAUGGACAGUUCACGAACAUACUUUUUUAAAUUCUUGGUCUACUUGCAUGUAGUUGUACUAGAAAUUGUAAUGAUAACGAAGGUCGUGCCCGACAAUCGCGGACAGUGUCUGGGAACAAGUUCUAGAUUUGAACUAAUGUUAUAAAAGUAUUAAAAUUCAGAGGUAUUUUUUUCUAGAUGUUUUUGCUUCUGUACACUACUGCAGACCUUCGUGUCAGGUUUUUAUGCGAUUCGGUACACCGUUUUAUCAAUAUGGGCCAGCCCACAUUUCCUGUUUGUAGGUCCACCUCCACAAUCAGGUAUGUGGAAUGGUUCCACCUAGAAUCGUGACUGUCCAUUGCACUAUCUAACGACAGUCUCUAUUGCUUAGCUGUACAUUGAUUUAUCAGUUGUUUGUUUCAGUUGCUUCUCCACAAGUGUCUACCUGUGUGUUGAAAGGUAAGGAUAUUAAAACCAACACACAGGAUGUAAUUAUAAUGAACUUAUAUGAAUAGAAUUAAGUUUAUGAGCCCACCUAACCAAUCAUCAACUUUUCAUUCUUCUUCUUUUUAUUAGAUUCUCCUAUUCGUACGAUCCCCCCUCCUACACUCAUUAGAGUAAUUUCCCUUUAUUGAUACAAGCUGCUGAACCCCCACUGAAUUUAUUAUACUGUGAGAGUUAAUGCCCUUCAUAGCAUUACACACUAGGAAAAAUGUCUCCUCAUGAUUUGUGCCCGAGAUUGAUAUCUAUACUGGUCAGAUAACCUAUAUACUGUCUUCUCCAGUGUGUUAUUGACUAUUUUAUCUAAUUAGGUAGCAACUAUCUACCUGGGCUAUCUAAGACUAGUGGUUUGAUAUCUAAAUCCCUCUAGACCUGAGGUCAUAUCACCACUAAUGCUGAAUACCUGCGCGAGAUUGAAUUAUUAUUUCCUGUUCUCCAUUCAACCAAAAACAAAUUCUAUACACCUGAGUCUCUCCUCAUAAUGAAGACUGCCUCACUGUGUGUGUUGUGUGGAUAGAAAAACAGGAAAAUAUUUAAUAGCUAAGGCUCUGAUUUCCUACCUGAGUGAGAGAUUUUACAUCACAAGUCAUGUGACCAAAUGGCCUCAAUGACUAUAACAAUAUGGGUUGGUUAGACAUAUAGAGACUUCCUAUGUAAAUAGAGUGCAGCGUUCACUUCCUACAGGCGACCAGGCGGUGUGACACAGGAAUUCUACUGCAUGAGGAGACUAAUUAUUUACUGCUUUCCCCUUCAAUCACCAUGAAUCAUUUUAUCUGCAUGGAGAACAGACUUGCAUGAUUAUUUUUCAUCCAUUGAUUUUUUUUUUAUUCAUUUCAUGCGUGUGUGAGGGGAAAAUAUUUGUGAUAAUUUUUUUUUGUACACACAGAGGUUAGAACAGAUUUUUUAGUGCAUAAAAUGUUGAUGGAUUUAGAUUCUGUGCCAAUUCUGGAUUUGUCGUUAAAGAAAAAAUCUCGGCAUGACUCUGUGGAUUCUUAUGAUGAGGGACGUGGUCCCCCCUCAGAUAAAAUGGGAGGGGGAACCUACAAGAAAAAUCUCAUGAAAAGAUACUGUAAGUAGUCGCUUGUUUGUCAUUUGAAGCAAUGCAUGUUCUAUUAUUUACAUGUUGCAAACAUUUAUAUUGUGCACAUGUUGCACAUCUCAGUUUCAGGCUUUGUCAGUUGUAACACAUGUUGGGGGAGUUGCAUCGACAGACACAGGGUCAGUUGAAAGUGAAGCUGAAUAAAUAUAAAAUAUUGAUGAAAUGUCAGAAACACUUUCACAUAAUUUUCUGUCAUAUCUUUAGGCUAGAACUUUUAAGUUGGGAUUAUUCAUUGAGGGAAUGGCUGGUGGUUUUGGCACCUGUUUGGACAGUACAAAAACCUUUUAAAAUCAGCGGUCCAAAAAUAGGAUACCCUAUAUCAAACAAAUCGGGUUGACAAAAUAUUGAUUUUCUUCAUGUUGGCAAUAUAUUUCUCAAAAGGAUUUUAAUGACUUGAGGGAAUAUUUGAAGGCAGGAACUAGAGAGUUGGAUUUUUAUAACCCCUAUUAUGUUGAGCAGUCCCUAGAAGUCAGUUGUCCGUGUCUUUUCAACUACUGGUUUACUGCCUGAAAUUUUUCAACUUGAUAGAAUAUUGCUGAUAAUGAAAACCACGGGAGAGCACAGUCUUUGAUAUUCAUGGAAAGACUGUUGUAACCAUUGUGUGUGUAACAAAUGGGAGGUCCUUAGAUACAACUGCAGAUUUAUCAGUUGUGAAGACAGACAAGGCAGGUGCCCUUUUAGCUAUGAAUUAUGAUAGCUUCUGGUCCAAAUGUACAGUCCUACCCCUAAGGGCACAGAUAACAGACUAACAUUUCCUUUGUAUUUUGUCUAAGUCAUUGAAUAAGCAAUACAUGUGUAUGCCUUUCCAAUGAUUGAUUGUUACCAAUUAACACAGUGUGUAAUUAACUCAUCAACUCUCAUUGAUGAUGUCAUGAUUAAAAUCAAGAACAGGGCCCAGGCCCUGAAUAUGGAGUUAAUAACACUUGCUACAUACAUACUUUUUCAAAUAUGAUGAAAAUGACAACUAUCAACCGUAUACAUCUUUUUUUGUUUGUAUCAAGUGUCGUUAGUGUUUUUUUAAAAUCUAUUACAACAUAUGUAACACACACACAAUGACUAAGUUUUAUAUUUACCAAUCCCAUCUACUUGUUACACAUAUACCGCGUCUGUAAUAGACAUUAAAUACCAUUCACAAACCAUCUGAAAGAAAAAUAACAAGCCCAGAUUUAGUGUGAAAUUGCAGCACUGCAUAUAUUUUAUUAUUAUUUUUUGUGUACUUGGCUGUUAGCAUGGAGCUCAGUUCAUCAAGCAAAAUACUGCUUUUUUUUUCUUCUGUCAGGCACUUUUUUCCUUAGUCUAGCAUUCACACACUUCUUGAUAAUUGGAGCUAAUUAUGCAACUUCUUUAUUUUUACCUAUCUCUCACAUACUUCCUGGGGGUUUAUAACUCCCCCAACUUCCAUGAUUUUCGUAAUAAAAACCUGGUGUUCAUGCAUUAUUUUUUUUUUUGUACAAGUCCCUCAUCAAGAUGCUUGGAUGAUGUAGGUUUUGAUAAUUCAUAGCAUAGUAUUUGUACAUUUUUCCGCAAUGUCUGGCUGGGCUGGGCAACUGUUCUUGCGGAAUGGGGUGGUCACUUCCUUAUGCAAACAAUGUGCAUGAUUACCUGUUUGUCGACUAUUCCGUCUAAUUAGUGAUAGUCCUAAUUGGUUGCAGGUAUCAAUUAAUCCACUUUUCUUCUGCAAUACAUCUCAACAAAAUACGCAUUAGUGUAAUUAGAAAAUGCACAGCAACAGACAAGUAGAUGAGGUCUUGACCCAGCUUAGAUUGAAAAAGUAUGAAUCCUGUCAGCUCAGAUCUUGUAAACUAUUUUUUUAUUGCGGAGUCCAAGGUUGAGCUCUUGACCAUAUUUAUGUAUUAUAAAUUCUGUUUUUCAUGACACUGAUUACUCUAUUCUAUGUUGCACUUUCAAAUCAAAUACUUUUGAAUUAUUGGUUUGUGAGAUUUCGUUUGCAGAACAUGUCAUAAUUUCCCAAUGCUGGUCACAUCUCAGUUAAAAUGGUACACCAGUGUUCUUUUUUCUUCCCAGGGAUAUCAG